UACGUAGGUGGCGAGCGUUGUCCGGAAUUAUUGGGCGUAAAGCGCGCGCAGGCGGGAAAGUAAGUCUGUCUUAAAAGUGCGGAGCUUAACUCCGUGAGGGGACAGAAACUAUUUUUCUUGAGUGCAGGAGAGGACAGUGGAAUUCCCAGUGUAGCGGUGAAAUGCGUAGAUAUUGGGAGGAACACCAGUGGCGAAGGCGACUGUCUGGACUGUGUCUGACGCUGAGGCGCGAAAGCCAGGGGAGUGAACG
RNAcentral lists this ribosomal RNA (250 nucleotides) under uncultured bacterium. RNAcentral describes it as "partial 16S ribosomal RNA". It matches the Rfam family "Bacterial small subunit ribosomal RNA", at positions 524 to 774 of the family's 1533-position model. The record is from RNAcentral.